Molecule: ribosomal RNA, 468 nt
Filed under: uncultured bacterium
Lineage: Bacteria
Description: partial 16S ribosomal RNA
Rfam family: Bacterial small subunit ribosomal RNA
Source: RNAcentral
GACGAACGCUGGCGGCGUGCUUAACACAUGCAAGUCGAACGGAAAGGCCCUGCUUUUGUGGGGUGCUCGAGUGGCGAACGGGUGAGUAACACGUGAGUAACCUGCCCUUGACUUUGGGAUAACUUCAGGAAACUGGGGCUAAUACCGGCUAGGAGCUCCUGCUGCAUGGUGGGGGUUGGAAAGUUUCGGCGGUUGGGGAUGGACUUGCGGCUUAUCAGCUUGUUGGUGGGGUAGUGGCUUACCAAGGCUUUGACGGGUAGUCGGCCUGAGAGGGUGACCAGCGACAUUGGGACUGAGAUACGGCCCAGACUCCUACGGGAGGCAGCAGUGGGGAAUAUUGCACAAUGGGCGGAAGCCUGAUGCAGCAACGCCGCGUGCGGGAUGACGGCCUUCGGGUUGUAAACCGCUUUCGCCUGUGACGAAGCGUGAGUGACGGUAAUGGGUAAAGAAGCACCGGCUAACUACGUG